GUGCUCACUUAAGCAGCACAUAUACUAAAAUUGGAACAAUGUGAAGAAAAUUAGCAUGGCUCCUGAACAAGGAUGACACGCAAAUUCAUUAAGUGUUCCAUAUUUUU
Molossus molossus (Pallas's mastiff bat) is the source of this 107-nucleotide small nuclear RNA. Lineage: Eukaryota; Metazoa; Chordata; Mammalia; Chiroptera; Molossidae. The record is from RefSeq and is a predicted model, not a curated record.